UAGCCGUAAACGAUACUCGCUAGGUGUCGGCCACGGUGCGACCGUUGUCGGUGCCGUAGGGAAGCCGUGAAGCGAGCCACCUGGGAAGUACGGCCGCAAGGCUGAAACUUAAAGGAAUUGGCGGGGGGAGGCACCGCAACGGGAGGAGCGUGCGGUUCAAUUGGAUUCAACGCCGGACAACUCACCAGGAGCGACGGUUACAUGAAGGCCAGGCUGAUGACCUUGCCUGAUUUUCCGUAGAGGAGGUGCAUGGCGUAGUCGUGU
Molecule: ribosomal RNA, 264 nt
Filed under: uncultured archaeon
Lineage: Archaea
Description: partial 16S ribosomal RNA
Rfam family: Archaeal small subunit ribosomal RNA
Source: RNAcentral